GUGGGGAAUAUUGGACAAUGGGCGAAAGCCUGAUCCAGCCAUGCCGCGUGUGUGAAGAAGGUCUUCGGAUUGUAAAGCACUUUAAGUUGGGAGGAAGGGCAGUAAGUUAAUACCUUGCUGUUUUGACGUUACCGACAGAAUAAGCACCGGCUAACUUUGUGCCAGCAGCCGCGGUAAUACGAAGGGUGCAAGCGUUAAUCGGAAUUACUGGGCGUAAAGCGCGCGUAGGUGGUUUUGUAAGUUGGAGGUGAAAUCCCCGGGCUCAACCUGGGAACUGCCUCCAAAACUGCAUGACUAGAGUACGGUAGAGGGUAGUGGAAUUUCCUGUGUAGCGGUGAAAUGCGUAGAUAUAGGAAGGAACACCAGUGGCGAAGGCGACUACCUGGACUGAUACUGACACUGAGGUGCGAAAGCGUGGGGAGCAAACAGGAUUAGAAACCCGGGUAGUCC
Molecule: ribosomal RNA, 450 nt
Filed under: uncultured bacterium
Lineage: Bacteria
Description: partial 16S ribosomal RNA
Rfam family: Bacterial small subunit ribosomal RNA
Source: RNAcentral